UUGUCCUUCCAUUGUGUUUCCUUUUCAUUCUAGAUCGGUGCUCCUAUUGUUUCAUAAAGCACUCAGAGCUAUAAAAAUAUUUUACCCGGUAGUUGGAUAAUUUAUAAAGAUGAAACUAGCUUUUACCAAUGUUGGCAGCUUCUUUCUGUACAUUUGCUUCUGCUUUCUGCUGAUCGUCUGGAAGGACCUAUAUAACUAAAAAAUUAAUAAUAGUGUCCCACAUUCAGGAGACCCAAAAUGGUUGUACCUUGCAUCUUAGUAUCGUGCAUCUUCCGUCAGGAUUCUACGAUUCUACCUAUGUUCUGCCGGUGCAAUAUUUGGGAUACAGUAUACCUUCUUAAUCUGCGUAUGUCGUUGGGCUGCAAGUGAAUGGCCUGAUUAGUGAAACAAGCAUCGAUAUAGCCAAUGUUUUCUAAUUGAUACCACAAUAUGUCAAUGCUUGAAGCCAUUGACUAUAUCAAAGAGGUUAGAGCCCUUUUUCUCUUCUUCACGGAAAAUCAGAUGAGGAGAGUGGCAGCAGUCAGAGGUUGGAGCCCUCUCCAAUGCGUCGAUUGCUAUCCUGACCAUUUAUACAUACAGCCUGGUUUUUGCUUCUGUGGGUGAGCUUGGACCGGUUUGGUUUUCUGCUAAGGCCCUUUAUAUAAAUGAACAUAGUUCAUUCAUCCGCUACGAGGUCCACAGAGAAGAAGAGUGUGUAGCGAGGUUAUUCGUCAAAAGUAUUUACAAACCAUGGCACGUCUAAUUGUAAGCCCCUUGACCUGGCUAGGAUCACAGCCCCACAGAUCUUUUUCGUCGUACUCUGGUCUUUAUCGUAGCCUACCGGACAUAGGGCGUAUAAGUUGAGAUUUUAACAUGUGUGUGUGAUUGUAACCUCCGGAAUGAGCUUUUUUUAUCUUCUGCUAUUAAUAUAUCGAGAUCAUUCACAAACUGGUAAAUAUGCUUAUUUUCCUGCUAUAUUUACCAUGCCACCAGAAAUGUAUCAUUGUUCCUGCUAUGUGCUUUCACUGCCACUACCUCUCCAAGCUUGUGCUAUGUGCUCUGCUUCCUUUCUCCUUUCUCUUGAAAAAAUAAUAUCAUUGUUAUAUCUGCAAACAAAUAUACUUGGUUGAAAUUUCCUGCCAUCAAUGGGAUUAGUAGAUUUUAAUUCUAUUGUUCAUUCCACUGUUUUUCAUGCCUUUGUAGCUGAAGGGUUAGUGCGAGAACUUGGACUGAAUUCAAAUAUGUAGCAUACUUAUCUUCCUGAAACAAUAGCAGAGAAAAAUCAAACAAUACUCCGUUCGUUAAUAAUCAGUUGGACAAACAGUAUACUAAAUUUUACAUUUGCACGACUACUGGUUUAUGAUGCAAUAAGGGAUAUAUACGUCAGUUGUAGUAGAACAAACUACAAGGCGCAUGCUUGUUCAAAUGCUUCUCUCACAGAUUAACAUCUUUGUUUAUACUUGUUCAAGCAAUUACCCUGUAUUUGUACGAGUAGGCCAGAGUACAUAUCAGUAAAAGCAAUAUAAUAUUUAUGAGCCAGUUUUAGGUGUGGUAGCCAAAUAUCAGUAAAAGUAGCUGAUAUUUUGCAUGACCAUUUUAACCAUUACCUCAAAAUCUCAAAUGGAACCACUUCAUAGUUUGUUGUUAAUUACGAAGAUGAUAAUCUACUUUUAUACAAUGAUAAUCUAUUUUUAUGUAAAGAUGAUUAUAAAGGUUUCCAAAGCUGGGCACAGCCUGCCCUGCCAGGCACUAUGCUUGUCAGCGCCCUGGCCGCUCUGCCUAGCACCUUGGUCAUCUACUCUUGAGUUUUCCCAUGUGGUUCUGUUUGAAAACCAUACAGAUAGCAGACCUGUUAGUCACUACCUGUUUCAUUGCCAAGAAAUAAUGGCAUAUUCUGAUGGAACUUUCAUGUGCAAGUAUCAGCCAUGGGGUAUGAAGUACGAGGGUGACUAUGAAUCGGUGACUAUGUUGAUUGACACUUCUCCCGGACAAAUGGGUUAGGCAUGAGCCAUAAUGGAUACUUAAACAGUGAACUAGCGCCAGGAAACCUGUUGUGAAAUGGUGAUGGAUCAGCUUGUGAUCCCGCUGUCAUCUCCCUCCCUUGACCUGAUGGUGCUGGACCCUGCUGGUAUUCAUCUCAUCUUUAUGUUCUUGAGAUAAGUAGUGGUUUGCUAGCUAUAGAUGAGGGGGUAUGGAAGCUCGACCAAAAGCUCGAUUGAAGUGGCAAUGCUAAAGAAGCUUCAGUAGACCUUCCAUUUGAUGCUGGUUUCAAGGAAGGCAAGCAUAUGACUAGCACAAAAUGUAGAUGUUUCCUUUUCUGUGAAAAGAUUACUUCUGUAUUGCAGGAAGGUAAAAAUUCUUUGUUUGAACGUUUUUACCUUUGUAAUAUUUUGAAGUGUUUUAUUUUCUCCGUGUUCAAAAAGUGAGUACAUUUUCUAUCUGAUUUCAAGCAUGAUAAUGAGUCUUUCUUUCGUUGGGAAAACAGAACUAUCUGGUGCUCUGUUUUUGCUUCAAAGACUGGUAAGCAUAGUCAUGCUAAGUGAACUUUGUUGCCAUUGAUAUAUUCAUCCGAGCGUCGCGAAUCAACAACGGAGCAGGUCAUGGAAGAGAGGAAGGAGGCGUGGCAAUGUUGUGGCGAACGGUGCCAGUCAGCGAUGUAGCGCCAUCCACAGGCGACGACCAGGUCAAGCAUGUCGAUCCCCUCCCUUCUCCUCUCUCUCUCUCUCUCUCUCUCUCUCUCUCUCUCUCGUUGUGCACUGCCGUAGCUAAAAUGGUUCAUUUAGAGAAGGGAGUUUGACCAAGUUUUUAUUUUCCUUAAGUUUUUACAUUCUGUGAUUCUGAAUCAAAUGUUACACAUGUUAAUGCUUUUUCAUGGCCCAUGUUGUUAAGAAACAUAUUGUAUUGUUUCCUUUUUAUGAAAGCAAUGUUGUUUUCUGACUGUGAGGUUCUCCAUGCAUAUGGAUUGAUAAUAUUUUCAGUGUUCUGAAGUUUUCAUAUGAGGGUAGGCAGGUAUAGAUUAAUGUUAAGGCAUGAAAAUUAGGGAAAUCCUAAUCGGUGUAUUAGAAGUUUGCUCUUUGAAUUUUGAGCAUAUCUACAUGUUGCCAUUGAUUUUCUGUACUGGCAAUGUAUUUGGCUCAUAUGUGAUGAUAGAUUUCUUGCAAUGUACUGGCAUAGAUUAAGUUCGUGUAACUGUUAUUACAUUUUGUAUAUAAUAAUAAUAAUUAGCAAGUUACACUCAUGUUUAGGGUACUAGCAUUCAGAGUAAGAGUUAAUCUUGCGCUGUCGGUAUGGGUUACAGGAGUAUUCUGUAUUAACACAUUUGUAAAUGGGAAAAUUUGUUGCUUUAAAGCAUUUCUAAUAUUUUUGCAUUACUUUGCACCAUUGAUUCAUUGAUCAUGUCCUUAUUCACAUACUUUUUAGCAUAUGAAAAUUCACACUCCAAUGUAAUAUUAGUAAGUAGGCGAUCUGGUUGCCAUUAUGGACAUAAAUACUGGUAUUGCUUCUGCAGUUCAUUUUUUUAGCAAAAUGUGUGUGUUCAAUUUUUUUGUCAAGCUCUUAAAACAAUUUUAAUGGUCAAACUAUUUAGUGGGUUUUUUGUGAGUACAAGCAUGGGUGGAUCUAACUCCCAGUGACACCGAGCGGCUGCCCAGGCUGCUCUGGCAAGUUUUUCUUAAAUAGUAGUGUACUUUUUUCAGGAUGAUUAUAUGCUCUUCACUUCCCUGGAUGUAGUUUGAAGUGGCAAGGAACUUUUGAUUCGUGGCAGAUAGGAAAGUCUGGUAUAUUAAAUAGCCGUCGUAUGCAAUAUGUGGUAGAUACAAUUCAGGCAAAUCCCUCUUGAGUUGUUUCUCCUUAUAUAGCAUGAUACAACAAUUGUCGCCUUUUAUUCGCUUGCAAUAUGAGGUAUAAUCAUGUUGCUGUUUUGAGUACAAGAAAAUAAAGAUCCCAGGCACUGAAAACAUCUUUAUUUGUUGCUGAACUGGAUGGACACUUCUGAUGUUGUUUUGCAAUCAUGAUAUAUUCUGAAUUUCUAU
Non-coding RNA from Lolium perenne, 4010 nucleotides. NCBI's taxonomy places the organism in Eukaryota, Viridiplantae, Streptophyta, Magnoliopsida, Poales, Poaceae. The record is from RefSeq and is a predicted model, not a curated record.